Molecule: long non-coding RNA, 10658 nt
Filed under: Phaseolus vulgaris (common bean)
Lineage: Eukaryota; Viridiplantae; Streptophyta; Magnoliopsida; Fabales; Fabaceae
Description: long non-coding RNA (PVUL_LNC001911)
Source: RNAcentral
UAUAUAUAUAUGUUAUUUGUGCCAGGGUCCACAUUAGGUGUCCUCUUCCGUCAACUUGUUUGCUUGUUUUUGCACUCCCUUAGUCUUGGUUCUAACUUGCACUUGAUUUGUGCAAAACACACAGACUCCUUUCCCUGCAUAAAGGUUUAGGCCUCUGUUCAAUAAAAAGGAAAAGAUAAAGAAAAUGAAAAAAAAAAAACAUUGGUCUUUAAUUAGCAACCAAUUUAGAAACUAUUUAACAAUAAUACAAAAUAAUAGAAACUAAUUUAGAAACCAAUUUUUGUUUUAGUUUCUAAAAUGGUCUCUAAUCUAGUUACUAUUGCAACUAAUUAUUUUAGUUUCUAAAAAUUAAUUUCUAUUUGAUAGUGACAUAGUGAGUUUGUUUUUGACUUUUGGACUUUUGGUCCUGCAGAUGUAUUUUUUUUAGAUCAUUUACUUGUAAGCAAAACUAUUGUUGCAUCAACUUCAAUGCUAGUAACAUGGAGGAAACAGAUAGAGAGGAUCAAGUAAACUGGAACAGACUCAUUUCUACAUGUAUCUUUUAUAAUUCGAAAGAGUAAAAUUGUGUAUCUUUUAUAACAUUACAGAUCGACUAAGGCUGUCUUGAAGCAACAAAUUAUAUUCUUUCUAAUUAUGAAAAACUGUUGUGAUUCAAACAUAAUAAACCUGAGUAGAAAAUGAGGCAAGUAAAUAUCUUAAAGAACUCAAAUAUCUAUAUUAAAAAAUAAAUUCAAUAUUAUUAUUAAUAUAAAUAUUUUUAUUAGCAAUAUUAAUAUUAAAAAUAUAAAUAAUCUUAAUAAUUUUAAAUAAUAUAAAUAAUAUUAAUCAUAAUAAUUAUAUACAUAAUAUUAAAAAUAUUUUAUAUAUAUAAAUAAUUAUAACUAAUAUUCAUAAAUAAUAAUAAAAAUUAAUAAUAAGUAGAACUAAUAGAUAUACAUAUUAUUAACAUUAUAAAACUAAUAAUAUUCAUAUAAUAUUAUAAAUAAUAUAAAUAAUAUUAAUAAUAAUAAUAAUAUUAAUGAUAUUAUUAAUAAUAUUAAUGAAAUUAGUGGUAUUAAUAAUAUUAAUAACAUUAAUAGUAUUAAUGAUAUUAAUAACAUUAGUAGUAAUAACAAAAAAAAUAUUAUUUAUAAUCUUAAUACUAUUAAUAAUAAUAUUAAUAAUUUAUAAUAUUAUUAAUAUGAAUAGAAAUAAUAAUAUUAGUAAUAAUAACAUUUGUAUGGACUGAACUCCAGUCCAUAGAGAGGACGCCUCAGGCCCAACUCCAACCCAAGAUUACUUCAUCCACUAUGCUUCAGAGGAUUACUAGGAGUAGGGCACAAGUAUUAGGAGAUGAGCAUCAAUUAAUGUCUUUUUUUGUAUUUUCUUUAGAGUAGAUUUAAAUAGAACAUAAAAAAGAGGUGUGAAUAGGAGUUUAGGGCUUAUGAGAAGACACAUUUUCCAUGUGACUUGUAUUAAGCGGCAAUUUCAAAUGAGUUUCAUUUGAAUUUCCCACCUAUUUGUUUUGCUCAAAACCGAUCCUAUAACACUAUAAAUAGGAAUGCUUGGUUCAUGUAAAAUUACAUAAGUGGCGGCAACAUCACUUAUAUUGAAGUCUAUUCACCUUCAAGUGGCGUGAACCAUCUUCCCUUGCUUAAACCACAUAAGUUCUUCCUAUCAUUCAUCUUCUAAUUUCCUUUCCAUUCCAUGUCAAUCUCUAAAUAUGUGUUGUUCAGGUGUGCUUGAAUCCAAUCGGUUAUGUUGCUUUGUUUGAUGAUUCUAAUCGGUUCUAUGGUUUCUAUUUGUGUUUCUAAUCGGCUUAAUUGAGUUGAAUCUUUAAUUCAAUCGGUUCAUUGUCUUUGUUUUGUGUUCUUGAUUCCACACCACUAAUUGUCAUUCAUAUUCAUUUAUACUUGUGUUUUUGCUUUGGUCUUUGGAAAUGAACCUUCACAUCUACUUAACACUUGUUAAGUUAAUGUCCAGUGGGGAUUUUCCUUAGACUUCUCACCUUAAUUGCUUAAGAAUUCUGAUCCUAAUUCUAAAAAGUGUCACCUAAUGAAUCAACCUAAAAUCAACUCACAUCAUGUGGUAUCAUGAGUAGUUGAGUUAAAACUAAGGCAAUUUCUGUUGAAGAUGAUUGUUGCCCCUUCAAGAUUGUGUUUGAUGAAGACUUUUAUGUACAUUUCAUGUGUAUUUUUGAUAUUGCUUUAAGUGUGUCUUAGGUAGUGCUUAGAGGUUGUUUAAAAGUGGGCUUUUUGCUGAGUAACUCACCUCAUAACCAUUAGCCAUGUGAUAAGAACAAGCAUAAGUUUUCUUAAACUGUUUUUCACAUGUUUUACAAAAAACACGUUUACUGCAUAAAAAUAAAUCUGUUCUUUUCUAAAUAAACAGAUUUAUUUUUAAACUGAUGUCUUGGCUAGGUCUUGUGAAAAUUAGAUUUUGUGCAUCAUGUAUUUUGACUAAGUCUUCUACCUUUCAAAACGACUGUGUUUGAAUAGUUAAGCUUUUCUGUUUUCGUUUUGAAAAAUAAAUUUGUUCAUCUGUAAAUGAAUAGAUUCAUUUUGUCUCAGGUGCCAUAUCUAGCUUAAACGUUUUUCAGUUUUAUCUCUGCACCAGAAUGGUUGACUAAGUCUCCUCACUUAACAAAUUCUCUAACUGCUUUUGAAAAUAAAUCUGUUCAUUUUAUUUUCAAUCUGUUCAUUUUAUAUUAGCUUUAACUGUUUUUCAAAAUUCUGUUAUAAGUUGGUUUUCUAUAAAAUGAAAACUUGUUACUGAGUUUAAACAUCAUUCAUACAUUUGUAAAAACAAGUUUUACAGCAGAGAAUUAAGAGUUUACAAAGAAUUAGCAUUUGUUCUUAAAAGAUUUCGAAAAUCACAAAGUGCUUGUUCUUGGUUUGGUUCCAAAAGCUUGGUGUGAGGUGCUGCUACUGUUCUAGCAAUCUUGCCUACUGGUUUAAGGCAGAUCUUUGUAUCCUCAAUCAGGUGUAGUCGUUUCACUUUUCAUUCCUUGUAAUAGUUUGGUUGAACACUCUUCUUGAUAGGUUUUCUUGAAGAGUGUGUGUGAGCUGAAAUGGGUUUUUUCAACAAGAGUAACUCAGUUGAGUGAACCAGUAUAACUGCCUUGUGUUCAUUCUCUCUCAAUCUCUGCAAUUAAAAAUAAAUCUGUUCUUUCUGGGCACGACUCAUAUUGUUCUUAAUUUCUAGAAAACUGGUUGAUUUCAAUAAGAACACUUAUAAUCUGUUAAAAGCCAUUAGAACAUGUUGAUUGUAAUAGAUCACUCAAUAAACUGUCAAACCAUUAAUUGAACCUUAAUCACUUGCUCGAAAUUGAAGGUUGUUGUUUUUUGUGAUUCACUGUUUUUCGUUCUAAUAUCAGUGUGUGUGCAUCUGGAAAAUCUAUCUGCAUAAUCUUGUGAUUAACCUGGCUGUAUAAACGUUUUUCAAACACAAACCGUGCCAAAAUAAAUCUGUUCAUUUUCACAUAAAUCGAUUUAUUUUCUGUAAACUGUGUUAAACACCAUUUCUGCGAAAAAGAUUUAAAAGGUCAAUUCACCCCCCUCUUGAACUUUGGCACUAUUAAACCCAACAGUUUCUUCCUGCACCCCUACAUUUUUCUUCCUGCACCCCGACAAUGUUAUACGAAGACCAAAUUGUCCCUAUUAUUUUUUAAAAACUCUAAAAUGCACUUGAACUGUAUUUAUUUUUUGCAUUAUGGAUUAUGGAAUCCGGAAAAAUUUUGGAUUGGCACUUUCAGUAAAAUUUUCGGUAAAAUUACGGAUCCACCAAUCCGUAAUUCAAAAUAUGCAUUUCACAUUCAAAAAUCCAUUAUUCAAAAAAAGCAUUCUGGAUCAACCAAUCCGUAACAGAAAUAUGCAUUCCGGAUUCAAAAAUCCAUAAUUUAAAAAAAAAAGCAUUAUGGAUCCAUGAAUCCGUAACAGAAUUAGGCUUCCGGAUUCAGCAAUCCAAAAAUCAAUAAUUUAUGCAAAAAUUGCUUCCGAAACACCCCUCAUCCGGAAAAAAAAAUGUUCAGUUCCGGAUUGAUGAAUCCGUAGCACACUCCCAAAUCCCUAUUUCUAGUACGGUGUCCUUUUUCAAAUAAAAGAUUAAGGCCAGUUUAGGAUUUAGAAAAUUGUGGGGUGCAAAAGAAGAAGCCUAAAACUAAUUAAGAGUUCAAAACCUACUUAAAAUUAGGUUUUGUUGGCCUAUUCUUCGCCCAUUUAAAACAUUAUAGUUAUUGCAAUUCAAACACAUUUUUUCUAUCUCAGCCACAACACCUUCCGACAUAACUAUACGAUAUCAAUAACACUGGGACUAUUUCAUGAAUUAUGAAUAUAUUUUUAAUUAUAUUAUGUAUAAUAGUAACUCGAAUAGUAACUUUUCCAAAUAGUAACACCUCUUCCGAAUAGUUACGAGUUUUCAGACCCUUUCCGAUCCGCUUCCGAAUUACGAGUUUGACAACAUUGCUUUCAAUUAUUGUUGUUCAUGGGACUUUAUUAGAUUCUCAAAAUAUCUGUAGAGGUUUUCCUUCGCAACUACAACAAUACAAAUUUUCUUCUGAUGUGAUGGUAUUACCUUUGCGGCAUUGUGAUUUAGUUCAAGGAUUUCAAUGGUUGUCCAACUAAGGUCCAAUCAUAUGAGAUUUAAGAAGCUGCAAAUGGAAUUUACUAUUGAAGGAAAACAAUUUGUUUUGAGGCAAGCCAACCCUUCUAGCAUUAAGAUGAUAAAUAAUAAAACCUUUACAGACACAAUCCAGCAAAGGGCCCAAUUGUGAUUUUUAUAUUUGAACAAGUUUGCCCAUCCUUUUGAAGUUCCUACAUGCCCACUGAACUCUACCAAUGCAGAAAUUCUCAAUUUACCAAUUGAGAUAGAUGAUCUCAUCACAGAAUUCAGUGACAUAUUUGCUGAGCCAAAACACCUACCCCUUGCAGAAUUAGGCUUGAUCAUAGAAUUCCUUUAGAGGAAGACCUUAGGUACUGCAUUAUUCAAAAGACAUAGUGGAUAAUCUAGUUGAUGAAAUGCUUAACCAGGGAAUUAUUCAACACAAUAAUAGUCCCUAUGCAUCUUCAGUGGUGUUUAGAAAAAAUGGUUCUUGGAGAGUUUGUGUAGAAUAUCAACAGUUGAAUCAACAAACCACAAAACAUCAAUUUCUCGUUCCAAUUUGGACUUAAGUCUUCCAUUUCCAGGUCCUUAGAGACCAACAAUUAUAUCUCAAAAAAGCAAAUAUUUUGUUGGAAAGAUUUGGCUCAAGUGUCCAUCAGUUGGAACGUCCCUCCAGUUCAGAGAUACAUAUUGGGUUCCAUGUGGCACAGCUGAAGCUUUGCAAGGAUACUAGUUCUGCUAAUACCCACCCUUUGCCACCCAAUUCAUAACUAGUUUUCAAUUGGGGAGCCUAAGGCAAUUUUGUACAAUGGUAAAGAGGGGAUGCGUUUUGCUACUAAAGUUUACAUCGAAUGGAAGAAUUUACCUCCAGAGCAUGCCACCUGAGGGUUUCACUAUGAUUUUCUCAAGAAGUUCUCAACUUCUCAGCUUGGGGACAAAGAUGCACGGAGGCUAUUCUUACAGAAUUUAUAUGGGAUCACCUAUAAAUGCUGUAGCUUGCACGUUAUUUUUUUAUUUCAUUCUGCUUUAUAGGUUACCUCUUUCAUUUGGGUUUAUUUCCUUUUACUGUGGUUUGCUGAUGUGGCAAUGCACAAUCACUAAAAUAGGGUAGUGUAGAAGUUGGUUACAGCUUUUUCUUUUUCCGCCUAUGCGUGUAUUGUAUCUAUCUCAUGCUUAUGUGUUGUGGCAUUUUGGAAGAGACAGAUCACCACCAAAAUAUUUUAUCUUUGUCACAAAUUCACAAUCUCUUGAUUUCUGUUCCUUGAACACGGGGAACUAUUCCAAACUUUUAAUUCCCCGGUCCAUUGGGUUCUCUGUAUUCUCGAAGUUUAUUCUCCCUAAACAAGUUCCAUUUCAGGCAACUCAAAAUUACAGGCAUGUUGUGAUUACAUUUCUCUUCUUUUUACAUAACCUAGCUUUGCAAUUUAUGGUCUUUAUCUUCUUGAAAAGCAACUUUUUCCAAUAUCUGUGGAUAUUCAACAUCUCAACUUAAUUCUGAAACAGGAUUCCAUUCCAUAAACAACUUAUAUAUAUAUAUAUAUAUAUAUAUAUAUAUAUAAGAUUAAUUUUUUCAUUAGGCAAAACAAAAUACUAAAAAGUUAUUGAAGUCACAAAAGUUACCUUCAGUAGAAGGUCACAAGCAGACUCAGCUAUUGCUUUCUCAAUGCGUUUUGUAUUUGACAUCAAGAGAUCAUUCCCAACUAUCUGGAGAACCAUUCAAAUAAAGAAAAAAACUAUAUAAACAGAAGUUCCAUCAGAAGCCAAUUUCUGUAAAAUAAACAUCUCAGUCGCAAUAUGCAAUUAACCUAUCUAAUGCUCAAUCCCGAUAUAGAGGAAAAAGACAACAAUUUUAUAUGAAAUGUUUAUUCCUCCCUUGCCCACACAGCCUGCUAACGAGUCAAUAUGGCAUUUAUACACUAGCAAUCAGUUUGUUCUUAUUUUUUUAUUAAAAAUGUACACUGUUAUCAUUUAAAACAUUGUGCAAACUCCAAAAUGGUAAAACUUACUGCACAGCACAAUCUUUGCUGCACAAAUUAACUAGUACAGAGAUUGAAUUGACAUUAACUCAAACAAAAUAUUAAUUGAUUAAAAAAAUUUUAAAAAUACCUGAAAGUUUUUUAGGAGAUUGAAAAUCUAGAUCAUAUAUUUUACCUAUAUCAGGGAAAAAGCAUAUAUAAAUAACAGCAUAACCUGGUCAAAUUUAUUCAAAAGGCAAAAGGAGCCUAACACCAUGAGGUGAGGAAGGUUGCAUGACAGAAAAAGGUGUUAAGUAUUAAAUUAACAUAGUGAAAUAUUGUAACAUUUUGCAGUAGCUUUGCUGAUAAAUUAACUAUCAAGCAUAGUAUUAAUAUCCCCUCUCUAUAUAAAAUAGAAUAGUUAUCUUGAAUAAGGAUAUUUUUUAACUGUAUUUAUUUAUAUUUUUCAACUUUAUUUCUAAACUAAAUUUCAAUGUUUUUAAAAAUAAAUUAUCAAUAGUUAAAACAACCCAGUAUCACAAUAUAAAUUGUUUAUAAAAAAAAUCUAAGAUAUGAUUUUUAUGUUUAAAAGUAAAUAUUUGUUAUGAAAUUUAAUUACUAUAAUAUAACUUUUAUGAAAAAUAUUUAUUAUAAAUUUAGUUGUAUAAAAUAAUCAUUCAUCCCAUGCAUUGAAGAGGUUAAAAUACUAGUUAACAUUAAAAUGAUAAAGCAUGACAAAAAAUCAAUAACAGGCUGUUGAGAUUAAAAUUCAUAACAAUCGCCCAUGGUCAUCCUAUAUCACUUUUAAAGUCUGUCUAUCUCUCACCCUUCCAAACCCUUAUUUAUCUCUCUAAAAUUUUAAAGUAUGUAAACUCAAAAUAAAUUAAAAGUGGUUACCUGUAACUCCCCCUCCUCUCCAAAUAAAUAACAAUAAUCACAUACCAUCAUAUAAUACUUGUAUAACAAGACUCAGAAACCAAGUUAAAAAUGUCACAACUGGAAUUUAAAUAAAGAUGACAUUACCACAGCUGAUGCCUGAUGUUCUUUGGUAUUUAUAGCCAUUAUUGAAGCAUUAUUAACAGAUAAGAUUGUUAUUUUUACAUCUCUUAGAAAGUAAACGAUGCAGUAAAUAAUUAGCAUAGCGCUGCUGCAACAGUCAAAUUAUAAUAGCAAUAAGCAAUAUUAAAAUAAGCAAGUAUCACCAAAUUUUAUCUUCUCAAGAAUCUAAAAAUAAAAACGGAUAGAAACUUAUACUUACCAAUGCAAAAAUUUGUAGUAGCAACAUCAAGAGCUAUCUUUAUUUUCUCAUUAUAACCAGUUCUGCUAAUAGCCUCCUUGACAAGAUCCAGGGCUUCUCUAAAGCUGGUGAUACUUAAAUACAGUCAGAUAAAAAAAUAGAAACAAAAUAGAAAAACCUACAAAAGUAAUUUUAUUAGAGUUGAGAAAUACCUCUAUAACAAGUUUAGCCAGGUGAAAUUUUCAUAAAUAUUAAUUGAUUUUAUAUUUAAAAAAAAUAUACAAGUUUUAUAUUGAAUAUAUAGUUGAUUAAAGAUCUAUAUAGUUGGCUGAAAAUAACAUUAAUUUUUAUAUUAGAUUAGAUUAAAAGCAUGUAGAUUAGAUUAAUAAAACCCACCCAUUUAUAUUAAUUUUUAGAGUAUAGUCGGGUGAAAGUAACUUAAUCUAUUAAUGUACUCUCUCAUCUCCCUUCAACAAUGACUUAUCACUCAACUUAUUUUAAAUUUACAGUCGAAAAUUUAUAACUUCAAACCACUUCUUUUUCUAUUUAACUCUGCACACUUUAGAUUCUAAGUUAUAUGUUCAUAUUUCACCUGAAUUUAAAAAUAUUCAUACAACAUUAAUCUUAAUAUACAGAUGGCAAUCAUAAUACAUAGCAUCAUUUACCAUGUAGAAGAAAACAUAGUAAUUAUCCCAUGCAGCAGUUUGGCAAAAAACAUAGUGAUGCCUUAGCACUCUCACUUUUAUUAAAAAACAUGCCGCAGUUAAAAAAUGUUGACUAAAAGAAAAUACUAGUUUAAGAGGAAAAUACAAAUGAAAUUAUUUUCAUCACAAAUUUAUCACAGAUUUCUAAGGAAUAGAGAUUUCACAUUAAUGUAUCCAACAAAUAACAAAGUACAUUUAGAGAAAUUAAAAUUACAGCAGAAGAACCAGAAGUCAAAUUACCAACCAGAUUCAUGCAUGCAACUGUCAUUAUAUUAUAUAAAAUACUAUAUAGCGCAGUUUUUGGAGAUAAUUUAUGUUUACUUUCUUUGUUCUAAAAUGGAGACUUUUCCCCUAUUUUAUGCUAUUCAUUUAACAGUUAAGAACUUCAUAGAAAUUUAUGGACAACUCUAACACCUUCGAAAGUGAUACAAAUUAGUUGCAUAUUUAAAAUGUAAAAAACUAGCUGUUACAUGAGGCAGUCCAGUCCAGUCUUAAAUAGCCUACAUAAUAAGGCAUACUCUUCUGAAAACAAAGUUCCCUCUUCAAAACUCAGGGUUCUAUCAAAAGACUCACAAGUAUAUGUACCUGGCUUACUUUUUUUUUUUUCCAUUGAAUGAAUCAUGGGGAGCAGUGAAUACACAACCAAAAAAACGACUCAGGACUAGAAGAAACUUAUAUAGUAAUUAAUAUUGGUCACUGUCUUUCCUUACUCUGGAGAAACUAAACUGUUCUGAUUCUGGUCAGGAAACAACCAAUCUCCUGGUUUAUCAUCAGGGAAAUGCACUUCAACAUGAGGACCGUGAACAUCAACCAAAGCUUGCUUGCAUGCUUAGUUUUACCAUGAGAGCCAGCUUUAGAAACAAUGUUCGGUACCACAUGGAGCACAUGAACGUAUGAUUUGGCUAAAUCACAUCAUUCCAGAGCCAGAGAGGAAAGGCAGCCCAUAGAUUUAAUUACUAUGUACUAAUUGAUCACACAUGGUUGAAGAUAUGAAACAAAUUGACAUUCACCAUCCAUUUGGAUUUUAACCUGUGUAAAAGCAACUACAUCUAUAGAUUUUAGAGCAAUAACUCCUGCAGAUAUCUACCCUUAGCCUCUACAAAAGCUGACCCCAAGGCUUUCAAUGCUUUAGAGUUUAGGAAUGAAAAAAAAAACUUAGGAGAAGUUGGAUUGUGAUAAAAAAAGAAUACAUUCAUUCUUAUACAGCGUCAUCUAACCACCAAGAAUUGUGGGUAUAUAGGAUUGAAGAAAACCAUAUUGAUUCAGGAACCAUAUUGUGGGUAAAACUGUACUUAAGUGUGAUUGAAGAAAUUAAAUAUGGAACUGAUUAAGGAAUAUUUCUUUUAUCUCAGCACAGACUGCAACUGGUGUGGGUCAUAACCCACAUUACUAUGGUUACGUAAUAGAUCCUUCUUCAUCAAGAUUGACUGAUGGCACUACCAACACCAGAACCUGAUUCAUAAACCCACCAAUGCCUGGACCAUCAUAGGUUACAUAGCCCUCAACACCACACCCAUAUGCGCCUAACCCAUCGCCACUAUAACCAGUAACAAGGCCACACUGUAUAGUAGCACAAACAUUGUUACCCCUAAAAUAUCGGCACCACUGAAUUUACCCAAAGAUCUAAAGUCACUUUUCUUGACUGUAUCAAAGCCAAAUGUGGGACGCACACCCCAUUCUUAAACCGUUAAUUUCAAUAGACAAAAAGAAAACUCCAUAGAGAGAAUCUUAAUAAGAAAAAGAAAUUACGCGAGUGAGAGGAGAAAGACAAAAACAAAGAGAGGCACCUGAAAACAAGACUUCGAUGGGACAUCAAGACGAUCAAAUAACAACGAAGUUAGGAAUAUGAAAUCAAUGAACGUUUCCAAAAUCAUCAGGGAUUUGGAAUCGAUUGAAAUUUUAGGGAUUUGCCAAAAAUUCCCCCACCGGACCGUUUGCACUUUAUUUCCGAUCACCGGCGACGAGCUUUUUGCUUUUCUUUAGGCACAUUGGAACUGUGUUUUAGGUUUCUGAAAUUCCGCUUCUAAGUCCCAAUUCUUCGAGGAGUUUUCCUUUUAUUUAAAUAAGGGGCGAGAGGGAAAACGGAAAAAAUUAUAAAGUUAAUUUAAUUAAAAAUAAAAUAAAAUUGAGAGAUAGAAGAAAGUAAAAGAUUGUGAAAGAAGAAAUACAACUGGUGAUAACAAA